Molecule: ribosomal RNA, 381 nt
Filed under: uncultured eukaryote
Lineage: Eukaryota
Description: partial 18S ribosomal RNA
Rfam family: Eukaryotic small subunit ribosomal RNA
Source: RNAcentral
CAAUAGCGUAUAUUAAAGCUGUUGCGGUUAAAAAGCUCGUAGUUGGAUUUCUGUCAAGGACAACUGGUCCGCCCUCCGGGUGAGCACAUAGUUUGGUCUUGGCAUCUUGCUGGAAGCUGUUGCUGCACUUGGCUGUGUGGCGCAGCGUCCAGCACUUUCACUUUGAGGAAAUUGGAGUGUUUCAAGCAGGCACAUGCCUUUGGACACAGUAGCAUGGAAUAAUUAGAUUGGGCUUUUGCUCCAAUUUGUCGGUUUCUGGAGCUGAGGUGAGAAUUAAUGGGGAUUGUUGGGGGCAUCCGAAUUCAGCCGUCAGAGGUGAAAUUCUUGGAUCUGCUAAAGACGGACAACUGCGAAAGCGUUUGCCCAGGAUGUUUUCAUUGA